GGAAGGACAAAUUGUUCGGUCACAUGGCGUUGUUCGAAGGACAUAUGCCGGCGGUAGAAACGGCGCCGGCGAUUGAAAAUGAAAAGGAUGUGGGAGUGGAUAUCAAUGGUGGGUCGGGUAAUGGGUUGAUGGAUAUUAGAACCGGGUCGGAUAAUGGGUUUUUGGAUAGGUUAAUGCUUGAUGGGUUUGAAUCUAUUGAUAGUUAUUGCUUCCAAGAUUUAUUCGAAUCUUCUUCACCAAAUGGUUUAAAUACGGUUCCAAACACUACUGGAUGGUUUGUUUAGGUUCUCGUUGAUGGGGUUGCUUUUUGUUUAAUCAGAUAUUUUGAAUUCGAGCUUUGUUCGUUAAAAUGUUUUUGCUAGGGAACGUUUUAUGCUAAUGUAUAUUUGAAAUGAUGUGCUAGAAUGCAGAUAAUAGAGAAGUUUUAGCUAUAUGUUUUAUUUGUUUGUUGUCUUAUUAGAGUACAUAUGUUGUAUUCUUUGUAUUCUUUUCUUCU
This 496-nucleotide unclassified non-coding RNA is filed under the name Hevea brasiliensis (rubber tree). The record is from RNAcentral. Lineage: Eukaryota; Viridiplantae; Streptophyta; Magnoliopsida; Malpighiales; Euphorbiaceae.